Molecule: long non-coding RNA, 1426 nt
Filed under: Ficedula albicollis (Collared flycatcher)
Lineage: Eukaryota; Metazoa; Chordata; Aves; Passeriformes; Muscicapidae
Description: lncRNA (ENSFALG00000011947.2)
Source: RNAcentral
GGAGUCCCCUUUCUGGGGCCAGAAAGGGAGGGCUGAGGCUAGAGACCUUUGCAGUGCUAAGGGUGGGCUCUUGGACAUCUCUGUGUCUCUGGCAGCUGCCUCAUGUGCAGCUUCUGUUCAGUUCACAUUGAGUCCCACUAAUGCCUUUGUCCCUUUUGUCUGUUUUCUCUGUGCCUGCUGUUUCUAACAGCCCCACCUACGUCCACACCGAGCACACCAAAAUCGACAACGACUCCCUCAACACCAGAGACUACCACCACCACCACCACCAGCCCUCCGAGCACAACAACCACUGUUCCUGGACCAACAACUACUACCUCAACUCCUGGAAGCACACCUCCACCCACACCGAGCACACCACAAUCGACAACGACUCCCUCAACACCAGAGACUACCACCACCACCACCACCAGCCCUCCGAGCACAACAACCACUGUUCCUGUACCAACACCAACACCCACUUUGACUACUUCAAGCACAUCCUCACCAACACCAACAUACACGACCACCCUACCGACUCCAACCCCACCUACGUCCACACCGAGCACACCAAAAUCGACAACGACUCCCUCAACACCAGAGACUACCACCACCACCACCACCAGCCCUCCGAGCACAACAACCACUGUUCCUGGACCAACAACUACUACCUCAACUCCUGGAAGCACACCUCCACCCACACCGAGCACACCAAAGUCGACAACAACUCCCUCAACACCAGAGACUACCACCACCACCACCACCAGCCCUCCGAGCACAACAACCACUGUUCCUGGACCAACAACUACUACCUCAACUCCUGGAAGCACACCUCCACCCACACCGAGCACACCAAAGUCGACAACAACUCCCUCAACACCAGAGACUACCACCACCACCACCACCAGCCCUCCGAGCACAACAACCACUGUUCCUGUACCAACACCAACACCCACUUUGACUACUUCAAGCACAUCCUCACCAACACCAACAUACACGACCACUCUACCAACUCCAGGUAAUUCUCUGGCCUGUGCUGUUGUUUGUUCCCUUCCUGUGCUUGCCCUGAAGGUACAUGAGCACCUCAAAUUCUUCCUCUCAGAUGGAUGUGGGGUGAGUGUAACUGCAGGGUAACAUUGGAACAGCCUUUGCUUAAAACUUGCCUUUCAUCUGGCUGUUUAAGAAGGAACAAGGUUUUGGAGUUCUGGGGAAAAAAAUCCUGGCUUCCCUGACAUAAUAGAUUACAAGGAGAAAUUUUGUGCUGCUGCCUAGCUUACACAGAUCUUGAACUGAUGGGAAAUCUUGCCUUUUUUGCUGCUGGACCUUGUUCUUCAGCUGGCCCAAAUGUAGCCACUGCAUGCCUUUAAUUUUUUUGGCUCUGGCAUUUUAGGCACUGUUUAAACAUAGCACUCUAGACGUUCUUCCCUCUCUCCUGUUUCUUUGUCCU